Molecule: non-coding RNA, 29 nt
Filed under: Mus musculus (house mouse)
Lineage: Eukaryota; Metazoa; Chordata; Mammalia; Rodentia; Muridae
Source: RNAcentral
UNGCCUUGGACAUAUCCAUAGAUGAAUGC